AGAGUUUGAUCCUGGCUCAGGAUGAACGCUGGCGGCGUGCCUAAUACAUGCAAGUCGAGCGGAGGAUUUAGCAAUAGAUCUUCAGCGGCGAACGGGUGAGUAACGCGUUGGUGACCUGCCUCAAAGAUUGGGAUACCAGUUCGAAAGGACUGCUAAUACCGGAUGUGAUCGAAUAGACUAGAGGCUAUUUGAUUAAAGGAGAAAUCCACUUUGAGAGGGGCCUGCGUCCCAUCAGCUAGUUGGUAAGGUAAAGGCUUACCAAGGCGAUGACGGGUAGGGGACCUGAGAGGGUGGCCCCCCACAAUGGAACUGAAACACGGUCCAUACACCUACGGGUGGCAGCAGUAGGGAAUAUUGCAUAAUGGGCGAAAGCCUGAUGCAGCAACGCCGCGUGUGCGAUGAAGGCCUUCGGGUCGUAAAGCACUUUUGAAGGGGAUGAGGAAGGACAGUACCCUUCGAAUAAGCUUCGGCUAACUACGUGCCAGCAGCCGCGGUAAAACGUAGGAAGCGAGCGUUAUCCGGAUUUACUGGGCGUAAAGCGCGUGUAGGCGGUCUCGUAAGUUGGAUGUGAAAGCUCCUGGCCUAACUGGGAGGGGUCGUUCAAUACUGUGAGACUCGAGGAUGGGAGAGGGAAGUGGAAUUCCGGGUGUAGUGGUGAAAUGCGUAGAUAUCCGGAGGAACACCAGUGGCGAAAGCGGCUUCCUGGCCCACACCUGACGCUCAGACGCGAAAGCUAGGGGAGCGAACGGGAUUAGAGACCCCGGUAGUCCUAGCUGUAAACGAUGUGGACUUGGCGUUGGCGGGUUUAAAUCCGUCAGUGCCGAAGCAAACGCGAUAAGUCCACCGCCUGGGGACUACGGCCGCAAGGUUAAAACUCAAAGGAAUUGACGG
RNAcentral lists this ribosomal RNA (891 nucleotides) under uncultured bacterium. RNAcentral's name for it is "bacterial SSU rRNA". It matches the Rfam family "Bacterial small subunit ribosomal RNA", at positions 8 to 916 of the family's 1533-position model. The record is from RNAcentral.